RNAcentral lists this long non-coding RNA (1630 nucleotides) under Orbicella faveolata. RNAcentral describes it as "uncharacterized LOC110045623". The record is from RNAcentral. Lineage: Eukaryota; Metazoa; Cnidaria; Anthozoa; Scleractinia; Merulinidae.
UCUUGGAUUCUGCAACACUCAAUGUCUCUCCAAUAACAGCCAAUAAGAAACUUUGUGUUAUUCCUACUACGAAAAACUCCACAGACCUAAAAAGGAGUGUUUGCCAAGGAUUGGGUUCAAAUGAAACACCUGACAUAACUCCUGAUACCAUCCCUAAGAAAGAUUUCACUACUGGAACAGCUGAACCCAAACAAAAGAGGAAGUUGGCAUACUCUGUGGAUAUCAUUAAAGGACCAGACUGCAUUCUGCUGGAUAUAAUAAAUAACAAAAAGCAACCAGCUAAACUUCUUUUUAAACACGAUAAAAACUCGUGGUGUCACAGUAAGCCUUGGUCAAGUUUACCAGUUGAUAUACUUAUUCAUCUUUCAUGAUUUAAUUUUAACUCUUCAGCUUGUGGAUUUUUUCAUAACCAUGAAUUCAAAGGACAAAAUAACUUGAAAGAAUUAUUCAAAAUGAGCAGAAAAUUACUUGUUGUUUGCAAAAUAUUUAUAAUAUAUUGAAAUAAAACUGAAUAUUGUUUCAGGGUUGCUUGAGCUAUUGUAGCCACCUCUUGAUCAGAGUUGGCACUUCUUUUCCAACCAGAAUUUUUCAACCUUUGUUUUUCUUGUGAACAACAUUUUUUCCCCACCACUGUUGCAGCGCAGGCAUUCUUGGGUGGGGAGAGGGAAUUGCACCACCACCCUGCCCCGACCCUGCCCCCCACCCCACCUCCCAAAAAAUAUAAAUAAAAUUGUGCAAGGUCAAAUCUUGAAAUGAUUUUCAUCAUUAUGAGAGAGGACACCACAUCCAUCACUGGAAACGAAACAAAAUAAAAUUGUCCAUCCCUGAAAAACAAGAUCAGAUGAUUGAGAUCGUUAUAAGAACAACACACCACUGUUUUUUAGUCUAGUCAUUGUCUUGGGUUCAUUUAAGUUCAUAGUGAUUUUCCUUCAGUUGAUUAUUUUCAUUUUCUCCUACAUGAAUCUUAGUUGAGAACCCUUCUUACUGUAAACCACUUACACCACCAAAUAGCAAAAUAAAUAAAUUGUUCAUCCCUGAGAUCUAAGGCCAAAUAAUUGUAAUCAUUAUGAGCUCAAGAAAAGUUUACAUAAUUUACAUUUUUAUUACUUAAUGCACCAAAACAGCAGACUACAUUGUAGUCCUUUUCUUUGACACCAAGAAAAAGCAAAGUUUUAAAUCAACCAAAAUAACACCCAAAAAAAUGAGUUAUUUACAGUUUACUUAAAUAAACUGGAUUAAACUGGAUUUCUUGAGAAAAUUGGUAGCUGGUCACAGUUAACCACAAUUCCUUGAGGAAUGUCAGAUUUCAAUCAAACAUUUUGAUACCAAAAGACUGCUGUACUAUAUCAGUAUACAAUUUUCUGCAUUUUUUCUAAUAAUUUACUUGAAAGUGAAGGAAACAAAUAUUAUCUAAGUUGGGAUGAAUAAUGUUUAAAAUGUUUGCAAAUUAGAUUGCUGGCAGGGGUAAGAGAGAAUAAGUAUGCAACAGAACCAUAGUAUGAGGCAAACCAAGGCGCUUGCCUUAGUCAUUGUUUUUGUUUCUGUUGUUUCUUUUUUGAAGGGGAAAGUAGACCACUGCUAAAUAACUAAGAAGAGAAUUUAACCAUGGACCAUGCCUCAGCCAUAUUUU